Molecule: ribosomal RNA, 200 nt
Filed under: uncultured bacterium
Lineage: Bacteria
Description: partial 16S ribosomal RNA
Rfam family: Bacterial small subunit ribosomal RNA
Source: RNAcentral
GAUGAACGCUAGCGGCAGGCUUAACACAUGCAAGUCGAGGGGUAUGGUUCUUCGGAACCAGAGACCGGCGCACGGGUGCGUAACGCGUAUGCAACCUACCUUGAACAGGGGGAUAGCCCAGAGAAAUUUGGAUUAAUACCCCAUGGUAUUAUCGGAUGGCAUCAUUUGAUAAUUAAAGUUCCAACGGUUCAAGAUGGGCA